GACGAACGCUGGCGGCGUGCCUAAUACAUGCAAGUCGAACGCACUCUCGUUUAGAUUGAAGGAGCUUGCUCCUGAUUGAUAAACAUUUGAGUGAGUGGCGGACGGGUGAGUAACACGUGGGUAACCUGCCCUAAAGUGGGGGAUAACAUUUGGAAACAGAUGCUAAUACCGCAUAAAACCUAACACCGCAUGGUGUAGGGUUGAAAGAUGGUUUCGGCUAUCACUUUAGGAUGGACCCGCGGUGCAUUAGUUAGUUGGUGAGGUAAAGGCUCACCAAGACCGUGAUGCAUAGCCGACCUGAGAGGGUAAUCGGCCACACUGGGACUGAGACACGGCCCAGACUCCUACGGGAGGCAGCAGUAGGGAAUCUUCCACAAUGGACGAAAGUCUGAUGGAGCAACGCCGCGUGAGUGAAGAAGGUUUCGGAUCGUAAAACUCUGUUGUUGGAGAAGAAUGUAUCUGAUAGUAACUGAUCAGGUAGUGACGGUAUCCAACCAG
This 498-nucleotide ribosomal RNA is filed under the name uncultured bacterium. RNAcentral describes it as "bacterial SSU rRNA". It matches the Rfam family "Bacterial small subunit ribosomal RNA", at positions 28 to 486 of the family's 1533-position model. The record is from RNAcentral.